RNAcentral lists this ribosomal RNA (191 nucleotides) under uncultured Enterococcus sp. Its description in RNAcentral is "partial 16S ribosomal RNA". It matches the Rfam family "Bacterial small subunit ribosomal RNA", at positions 467 to 656 of the family's 1533-position model. The record is from RNAcentral. Lineage: Bacteria; Bacillati; Bacillota; Bacilli; Lactobacillales; Enterococcaceae.
CCUUGACGGUAUCUAACCAGAAAGCCACGGCUAACUACGUGCCAGCAGCCGCGGUAAUACGUAGGUGGCAAGCGUUGUCCGGAUUUAUUGGGCGUAAAGCGAGCGCAGGCGGUUUUUAAGUUGAUGUUGAAAGCCCUGCUCACCGUAGGUAAGGUCAUUGGUAAACUGGGGUAGACUUGAGUUGCGAGAGA